Molecule: ribosomal RNA, 497 nt
Filed under: uncultured bacterium
Lineage: Bacteria
Description: partial 16S ribosomal RNA
Rfam family: Bacterial small subunit ribosomal RNA
Source: RNAcentral
GAUGAACGCUGGCGGCGUGCCUAAUACAUGCAAGUCGAGCGAACAGACGAGGAGCUUGCUCCUCUGACGUUAGCGGCGGACGGGUGAGUAACACGUGGAUAACCUACCUAUAAGACUGGGAUAACUUCGGGAAACCGGAGCUAAUACCGGAUAAUAUAUUGAACCGCAUGGUUCAAUAGUGAAAGACGGUUUUGCUGUCACUUAUAGAUGGAUCCGCGCCGCAUUAGCUAGUUGGUAAGGUAACGGCUUACCAAGGCAACGAUGCGUAGCCGACCUGAGAGGGGGAUCGGCCACACUGGAACUGAGACCCGGUCCAGACUCCUACGGGAGGCAGCAGUAGGGAAUCUUCCGCAAUGGGCGAAAGCCUGACGGAGCAACGCCGCGUGAGUGAUGAAGGUCUUCGGAUCGUAAAACUCUGUUAUUAGGGAAGAACAAAUGUGUAAGUAACUAUGCACGUCUUGACGGUACCUAAUCAGAAAGCCAGGGCUAACUACGUG